CCAGAAAGCCCUUUGUUUGCUCAACACUGUGAAGAUUAUGUUUGAAGGGAGAAGAUGGAAAUGGGGCAAGAAUGAUUUUCUCUACGUAAUAAAGUGGGGGGGGGGUGGCGGAGGUUGAGGAAGGAAGCCAGGAGUGGCCUGGUGGGGAGGACAGAACCUUGGAGAUUCACCUGUUCAAUGAAGAGUUUUAGAGUGGUUUCUUUUGCAGUGUGGGGUUGAUCUUUCUUUUCCAUUUCUCAUGUGAAACCUUCAGAAAAGUCUUUAGUUGUAAAAACUAAUGUUUUUAGUCCGAACACAAUGUUUCUGGGACUUGUGAAGAUGCCGAGUUGAGAAAUGAGGUUGGCACAAAGCGGAAGGGACGACGCAUGGGUACCGCUGAGCCUUAGGCACGUCUCAGAACAGGUGAUGGCACCUUGUUCUGUGAUCUGUUGCUGCUGCUGCUGUCUGGUGGGGGGCUCCCAGGAGGGCAGGAGGCCAGAGAUGCUGCCCAGGCUGUCCCACCGUUGCUCAGGACCCGGCUGGUGGCUUCCGCCAGCCGAGCCUCAGACUUCUCCCCUUGCAAUUUCAGCUGCUACGCAUCCCUCAGCCUUUCUGUGCAUGAAGGCGCUUCUCCAGCAAUCUUCCGAAUUGCUUUUGCAUAUGGGCUAGUCAGACAUUCAAGCUCUACUUCUAACUUCAAACAGGUCACACUGUGGAUGCACAUAUGAAUGUCCCGACGAAGCAACAGUCUAGGAAGUUUCAUUACAGCUCUGAUUUUGACUCCCUGAUGAUUGUACUUCGAACGGGAAGUGAUUUCUGGCUCUGCCUUAGCUGCCUUGGAACGUCACUCAUGAGCUGCCCUGAACACACCGCAAAGCUGCGAGUUGUUUUCUUGUUUGUUUCGUCAAAGCUGCACCUGUUUUCUGUACUGAAAAUAGUGCCUCAUGGAUCUAAAGCCAAACCCAAGCCCGAGGCAGGAAACAAACAAACCAACAACGACAACCAGAAAAGACACUGUUACUCUGGUAUUCUGGUGGUACUAUCUCUAUUACAUCUAUCUGAUAGAAAAACUGCCCGGUGAAAUAUAACUACAGGGCCAUCCAGAGCCAGGGAAUGGCUGACUUCCCCUGGAGUAUUUGCUGGUAAUUGAAAUAAGCAGUAUUAACCACUCCCCAAACAAGCAGUAAUUUUUCGUACAUAAAAAUUAUUUUUUAUUAUGUAAGCAAAAUGUGUGUGUGAAAAGUCAAGGGCUCAUUGAUACUGGAUGGGACAGGUUUCCCCCGCUACCCAUGAGUAGAGCUUCCUCUGAAACCUGUCAUAAAGUGAAACGUCAUGAAGAAGCAGUUACCAGUUUGUAAAUGUGCAAAUCCUCAAAUUUCUUUGGGUGAGCGAAAACAUGUUGUAAGGUCGGUUUUCCAUAAAAGCCGAGUGGCACAAGGCAAACUUUUGGAAAGCGGGGAGACCUGUAUUUGAUCAAGGAACACCAAGUUUUGAAUCCUUUGUUGACGCAGCUCUCUCAUUUUCUCCCGAAGAUGUAACCCCAGGGAAUAACACACACAUGAAGUUGGAAAGAAGUACAUUCUCCUGAGUUGGGCUUUAGCUCCAGACACCCCUGCAGAGCAGCAGGGACUGGGAUGGACUCCUGGGAGGGCAGGCUUCCCUGAGGCUGGUGACCAUGCCGGGCCUGGAACAAGGCACACUGUGUGCUGUUGGGCUGACCCCUGCACACAGGUAGGUCUGGGAACUUGCGUCGCAAUGGAACAAGAAACCACUGCACCAGCCAGUGGACAGUAGAGAGCACAUUUGCUCAUUUAACGCCCCGUGUCUUCAUCUCUAAAGUCUGAGCGAACUUCCUUCUCAGGACAGAGUGAGGGGGUGGGAUGGGGAGGAAAGGACUCCUAGAGCAGCGUCUUCAACCAGUCUGCUCAUUAGAGGACAUUUAAAAGACACUAGCAUCUGGGUCCUAUCUCAGACUAACCAGAAUCCCUGGGGGUGGGGCUUAGACAUUUAAAGAAAAGCUUCUGUGGUGAUUAAGGGGCGCAGCCAAGAUUGGGAACCACUGUCCUAGACGCUAACAGUAUUUGUUAUAAAAAAGUGAAAAACUACAGUCAGACAAAUACAGUGAUUUCACUACCCCAAAAUGAUGACCAUUGCCAUUGUGGUCUUUGUAUCUCUAUCUAUGUCUGUUUCUGUCUCUAUGAGAUAUUUUCAAACAACGUGAAGAAUUAAUUGCUGCAACCUAGUAAUUGGUACAUGUAAAAUAUUUCUCUUAUAUAAUUUGUUCUAUUUCUGAGUGUGAGUCUUUCCCGAAGCUGUUCGCUAAAAAUGGAAAAACACCUCUGUCUCGGUCCAUGGGCUGCUAUAAUAAAAGAGCAUAGACUAGGUGGCUUAUAAACAACAAACAUCUAUUUCUCUGGAGGCAGGAAAUCCGAAAGCACCAGCAGGGGCCGGUGAAGGGUCUCUUUCUGGUUCAUACCUGGCGCCCUCUCGUUGUGACCUCACACGGUCUCUCUGGAGCAUCUUUCACAUGGCACUAAUCCCUUUCUCAGGGCUCUACCCUUCCAAGCACCCCUGAGAGGCUCCACCUACUAAUCCCAUCACCUUUGGGGAUCAGGAUUGUAACAUAUGAAUUUAGGGGGACACAAACAUUCUGUCCCCAGCAACCUCUCAAAUAUGUUCCUUUCUAUUUAUUCAAUUCUUUCCCUAUCUUGCCCUUUUCCAUACAUACACACACACACACACACACACACACACACACAGUGCCUAUUUAUUUUUGAGAGACAGGGGAGGGGUGGAGAGAGAAAGGGAGACAAAGGAUCUGAC
Molecule: long non-coding RNA, 2802 nt
Organism: Lynx canadensis (Canada lynx)
Lineage: Eukaryota; Metazoa; Chordata; Mammalia; Carnivora; Felidae
Source: Ensembl